Molecule: ribosomal RNA, 358 nt
Filed under: uncultured Desulfobulbaceae bacterium
Lineage: Bacteria; Pseudomonadati; Thermodesulfobacteriota; Desulfobulbia; Desulfobulbales; Desulfobulbaceae
Description: bacterial SSU rRNA
Rfam family: Bacterial small subunit ribosomal RNA
Source: RNAcentral
GGGAGCCGGAGACAGGUGCUGCAUGGCUGUCGUCAGCUCGUGUCGUGAGAUGUUGGGUUAAGUCCCGCAACGAGCGCAACCCUCGCCUUUAGUUGCCAGCAUUUAGUUGGGCACUCUAAAGGGACUGCCGGUGUUAAACCGGAGGAAGGUGGGGAUGACGUCAAGUCCUCAUGGCCUUUAUGCCUAGGGCUACACACGUGCUACAAUGGGCGGUACAAAGGGUUGCAAUCCCGCGAGGGGGAGCCAAUCCCAAAAAGCCGUUCUCAGUUCGGAUUGGAGUCUGCAACUCGACUCCAUGAAGUUGGAAUCGCUAGUAAUCGUGGAUCAGCAUGCCACGGUGAAUACGUUCCCGGGCCUU